GUGGGGAAUCUUGCGCAAUGGGCGAAAGCCUGACGCAGCCAUGCCGCGUGAAUGAUGAAGGUCUUAGGAUUGUAUAAUUCUUUCACCGGGGACGAUAAUGACGGUACCCGGAGAAGAAGCUCCGGCUAACUUCGUGCCAGCAGCCGCGGUAAUACGAAGGGGGCUAGCGUUGCUCGGAAUUACUGGGCGUAAAGGGCGCGUAGGCGGACAGCUUAGUCAGAGGUGAAAGCCCAGGGCUCAACCUUGGAAUGGCCUUUGAUACUGGCUGUCUUGAGUUUGGGAGAAGGGAGUGGAACUCCGAGUGUAGAGGUGAAAUUCGUAGAUAUUCGGAAGAACACCAGUGGAGGAGGCGACUCACUGGCCCAAUACUGACGCUGAGGCGCGAAAGCGUGGGGAGCAAACAGGAUUAGAUACCCGUGUAGUCC
This 425-nucleotide ribosomal RNA is filed under the name uncultured bacterium. RNAcentral describes it as "partial 16S ribosomal RNA". It matches the Rfam family "Bacterial small subunit ribosomal RNA", at positions 354 to 796 of the family's 1533-position model. The record is from RNAcentral.